Molecule: small nuclear RNA, 107 nt
Organism: Otolemur garnettii (small-eared galago)
Lineage: Eukaryota; Metazoa; Chordata; Mammalia; Primates; Galagidae
Source: Ensembl
GUGAUCACUUUGGCAGCACAUCUACUAAAAUUGGAAUGAUACAGAGAAGAUUAGCAUGGCCCCUGUGCAAGGAUAACAUGCAAAUUCGUAAAGCAUUCCAUAUUUAA